UACGUAGGGUGCAAGCGUUAAUCGGAAUUACUGGGCGUAAAGCGUGCGCAGGCGGCUUUGCAAGACAGAUGUGAAAUCCCCGGGCUUAACCUGGGAACUGCAUUUGUGACUGCAUGGCUGGAGUGCGGCAGAGGGGGAUGGAAUUCCGCGUGUAGCAGUGAAAUGCGUAGAUAUGCGGAGGAACACCGAUGGCGAAGGCAAUCCCCUGGGCCUGCACUGACGCUCAUGCACGAAAGCGUGGGGAGCAAACAGGAUUAGAUACCCUGGUAGUCCACGCCCUAAACGAUGUCAACUGGUUGUUGGACGGCUUGCUGUUCAGUAACGAAGCUAACGCGUGAAGUUGACCGCCUGGGGAGUACGGCCGCAAGGUUGAA
RNAcentral lists this ribosomal RNA (374 nucleotides) under uncultured bacterium. Its description in RNAcentral is "bacterial SSU rRNA". It matches the Rfam family "Bacterial small subunit ribosomal RNA", at positions 524 to 898 of the family's 1533-position model. The record is from RNAcentral.